This 258-nucleotide ribosomal RNA is filed under the name uncultured bacterium. RNAcentral's name for it is "partial 16S ribosomal RNA". It matches the Rfam family "Bacterial small subunit ribosomal RNA", at positions 524 to 781 of the family's 1533-position model. The record is from RNAcentral.
UACGAAGGGGGCUAGCGUUGCUCGGAAUUACUGGGCGUAAAGGGCGCGUAGGCGGCACUGUUAGUCAGGCGUGAAAGUCCUGGGCUCAACCUGGGAACUGCGCUUGAUACGGCAGAGCUAGAGGAUGGAAGAGGCUCGCGGAAUUCCCAGUGUAGAGGUGAAAUUCGUAGAUAUUGGGAAGAACACCGGUGGCGAAGGCGGCGAGCUGGUCCAUUACUGACGCUGAGGCGCGACAGCGUGGGGAGCAAACAGGAUUAG